GUGUCGGUAGUGCAGCGUUUUAGCACGUGCCACCGAAAUAAGUGAGAUCUGGGGUUCGAAUCCCAGUUGACGCA
Parelaphostrongylus tenuis is the source of this 74-nucleotide non-coding RNA. The record is from the annotation of a GenBank genome assembly. NCBI's taxonomy places the organism in Eukaryota, Metazoa, Nematoda, Chromadorea, Rhabditida, Metastrongylidae.